UUUUCUCCUCAUCUGAUCAUCUCUGAUCAUCAUCACUGUAUCAGUAUGUACUCAUGGUUUCUGUAUGAAGGUGUGAGUUGGAUCUUAAAACAUUACACAGGGAUUCAGAAAGAUGAUGGAUCCUAAUGGAAUGUGAUUAAUUCCAGCAGAAGAGAUCGGCGUCUUCGGGACUCUGUGUCUACACAAGCAUUGAAAAAUGGAGAUUCCUGAUCAGGGGACAGAUCAUGUGACCUCACCCUCAAAAGCGGUAAACUACAGAGAGAGAGAUCACACUCACCAGAACCCAGCUGUGUCUCCAUGAAGAGUGAUGUGUCUAUGGAUCUUCCUCUCUACUUCAGUAAUGAAAACCCCUCACCUGGACCCAGGGAGCGGAAGCGUUUCCCCGAACGCAACAGAGAAAAG
Silurus meridionalis is the source of this 402-nucleotide long non-coding RNA. RefSeq lists it as uncharacterized. The record is from RefSeq and is a predicted model, not a curated record. The transcript is spliced from 4 exons. Lineage: Eukaryota; Metazoa; Chordata; Actinopteri; Siluriformes; Siluridae.